AACUCAAAGGAAUUGGCGGGGACCCGCACAAGCGGUGGAUGAUGUGGUUUAAUUCGAUGCAACGCGAAAAACCUUACCUACCCUUGACAUGUCUGGAAUCCUGAAGAGAUUUGGGAGUGCUCGAAAGAGAGCCAGAACACAGGUGCUGCAUGGCCGUCGUCAGCUCGUGUCGUGAGAUGUUGGGUUAAGUCCCGCAACGAGCGCAACCCUUGUCAUUAGUUGCUACGAAAGGGCACUCUAAUGAGACUGCCGGUGACAAACCGGAGGAAGGUGGGGAUGACGUCAGGUCAUCAUGGCCCUUAUGGGUAGGGCUACACACGUCAUACAAUGGCCGGGACAGAGGGCUGCCAACCCGCGAGGGGGAGCUAAUCCCAGAAACCCGGUCGUAGUCCGGAUCGUAGUCUGCAACUCGACUGCGUGAAGUCGGAAUCGCUAGUAAUCGCGGAUCAGCUUGCCGCGGUGAAUACGUUCCCGGGUCUUGUACACACCGCCCGUC
Molecule: ribosomal RNA, 496 nt
Filed under: uncultured beta proteobacterium
Lineage: Bacteria; Pseudomonadati; Pseudomonadota; Betaproteobacteria
Description: bacterial SSU rRNA
Rfam family: Bacterial small subunit ribosomal RNA
Source: RNAcentral